GACGAACGCUGGCGGCGUGCCUAAUACAUGCAAGUUGAGCGCUGAAGGUUGGUACUUGUACCGACUGGAUGAGCAGCGAACGGGUGAGUAACGCGUGGGGAAUCUGCCUUUGAGCGGGGGACAACAUUUGGAAACGAAUGCUAAUACCGCAUAAAAACUUUAAACACAAGUUUUAAGUUUGAAAGAUGCAAUUGCAUCACUCAAAGAUGAUCCCGCGUUGUAUUAGCUAGUUGGUGAGGUAAAGGCUCACCAAGGCGAUGAUACAUAGCCGACCUGAGAGGGUGAUCGGCCACAUUGGGACUGAGACACGGCCCAAACUCCUACGGGAGGCAGCAGUAGGGAAUCUUCGGCAAUGGACGAAAGUCUGACCGAGCGACGCCGCGUGAGUGAAGAAGGUUUUCGGAUCGUAAAACUCUGUUGGUAGAGAAGAACGUUGGUGAGAGUGGAAAGCUCAUCAAGUGACGGUAACUACCCAGAAAGGGACGGCUAACUACGUG
RNAcentral lists this ribosomal RNA (497 nucleotides) under uncultured bacterium. RNAcentral describes it as "partial 16S ribosomal RNA". It matches the Rfam family "Bacterial small subunit ribosomal RNA", at positions 28 to 507 of the family's 1533-position model. The record is from RNAcentral.